This 1289-nucleotide ribosomal RNA is filed under the name Anthonomus pomorum (apple weevil). RNAcentral's name for it is "16S ribosomal RNA". The stretch from base 596 to 1289 matches the Rfam family "Archaeal large subunit ribosomal RNA", at positions 1423 to 2860 of the family's 2987-position model. Lineage: Eukaryota; Metazoa; Arthropoda; Insecta; Coleoptera; Curculionidae. The record is from RNAcentral.
AAGGAAAAAAUCAUUUAUUUUAAAAAUAUUUUUGGACUUAGAAAAAAAAAUUUUAUUUUUAUUAUUUAGUAAGAAAAAAGUUUAUUUAUUAUAGAGAAUUAGUAUUGACAGAGAAAUUUUUAUUUUUAUUAUAGAAGAAUUUGUUUUUUGUACCUUGUGUAUCAGGGUUUAUUAAUUAGGAUUUUUGGAUUAAAUUUUCUCGAGUUUAAAAGAGCUAUUAAAAUGUAAUUUUUAUUGUAGAAUAAAUAUUAUGGACAUUUUCAUAGAAGUGAAACGCUAACCGAUUUUAAAUAUAUCUAGUUUUUUAAGAAAAAAAUUUAAUUUAAUUUUUAUUUAAUUAUAAAGCUAUUUUUUUAGCUUUAUGAUAUUAAAAUUGUAUAUUUUUAGGGAUGAGCUUAAAAGUAGAUUAAUAUAAUUAAUUUUAGAAUUAUUUAAUAAAUAGGAUUUUUAGUUUCCAUUUUUAUUAGUGUUUUAUCACUGGUUAAAUAUUUAAUAUAAUUUUUAUUUAAUUUAUAUUUUUUAUUAAAAUAUAGGUUUAAAUUUUUAAAAUUUAGAAAUAAUGAUAAAAUUAGUAUAAUAAAUUGUUUAAAUUUUUUAAAGAAUUUAGGUUAAGUAAAGGAAUUCGGCAAAGGCAUUUUUCACCUGUUUAUUAAAAACAUGGCUUUUUGAGAAUAAUUUAAAGUCUGGCCUGCCCAAUGAGUAGUUUAAUGGCCGCGGUAUUUUAACCGUGCAAAGGUAGCAUAAUCAUUAGUUUCUUAAUUGGGAGCUUGUAUGAAGGGUUGAAUGAAAAAAUAGCUGUCUCUAUUUAAAUUAGUUAAAAUUUUAUUUUUAAGUCAAAAAGCUUAAAUAAUUAUUGAAGACGAGAAGACCCUAUAGAGUUUGAUAUUGGCAUUAUUUUGAUUCUUUGGGAUUUAAAGAUUUUUAUUAAUUCAGUAUUUUAUUGGGGUGAUUGAAAAAUUAAUUGAACUUUUUCUUUAUAUAAUCAUUAAUUUAUGAAUAAUUGAUCCUUAAAAAAGAUUAUAAGAUAAAAUUACCUUAGGGAUAACAGCGUAAUUUUUUUUUAGAGUUCUAAUCGAAAAAAAAGAUUGCGACCUCGAUGUUGGAUUAAAAUGAAAUUCUGGUGUAGCAGCUAGGAGUUUGGGUCUGUUCGACCUUUGAAAUUUUACAUGAUCUGAGUUUAAACCGGUGUGAGCCAGGUUGGUUUCUAUCUCGAUAAAUAUAAAAUAUUUUAGUACGAAAGGACCAAAUAUUUAAUUUGUAAUUUAAAAUAGGAAUACUAUUAAUAUAAA